This 403-nucleotide ribosomal RNA is filed under the name uncultured bacterium. RNAcentral's name for it is "partial 16S ribosomal RNA". It matches the Rfam family "Bacterial small subunit ribosomal RNA", at positions 28 to 526 of the family's 1533-position model. The record is from RNAcentral.
GACGAACGCUGGCGGCGUGCCUAAUACAUGCAAGUCGAACGCAGUGGGGACGGGUGAGUAACACGUGGGUAACCUCCCAUCAGAGGGGAUAACACUUGGAAACAGGUGCUAAACCGAUACUGAUGGAUGGACCCGCGGGGCAUUAGCUAGUUGGUGAGGUAACGGCUCACCAAGGCCACGAUGCGUAGCCGACGGGACAGGGUGAGCGGCCACACUGGGACUGAGACACGGCCCGUAUUCCUACGGUAGGCAGCAGGAGGGAAUCUUCGGCAAUGGACGAAAGUCUGACCGAUCAACGCCGCGGGAGUGAAGAAGGUUUUCGGAUCGUAAAACUCUGUUGUUAGAGAAGCGGUAUCUAACCAGAAAGCCACGGCUAACUACGUGCCAGCAGCCGCGGUAAUUC